AGUGAACGCUGGCGGUAGGCCUAACACAUGCAAGUCGAACGGCAGCACAGUAAGAGCUUGCUCUUACGGGUGGCGAGUGGCGGACGGGUGAGGAAUACAUCGGAAUCUACUUUUUCGUGGGGGAUAACGUAGGGAAACUUACGCUAAUACCGCAUACGACCUACGGGUGAAAGUAGGGGAUCUUCGGACCUUGCGCGAUUGAAUUAGCCGAUGUCGGAUUAGCUAGUUGGCGGGGAAAAGGCCCACCAAGGCGACGAUCCGUAGCUGGUCUGAGAGGAUGAUCAGCCACACUGGAACUGAGACACGGUCAAGACGCCUACGGGAGGCAGCAGUGGGGAAUAUUGGACAAUGGGCGCAAGCCUGAUCCAGCCAUACCGCGUGGGUGAAGAAGGCCUUCGGGUUGUAAAGCCCUUUUGUUGGGAAAGAAAAGCAGCAGGUUAAUACCCAGCUGUUCUGACGGUACCCAAAGAAUAAGCACCGGCUAACUUCGUG
This 492-nucleotide ribosomal RNA is filed under the name uncultured bacterium. RNAcentral describes it as "partial 16S ribosomal RNA". It matches the Rfam family "Bacterial small subunit ribosomal RNA", at positions 29 to 507 of the family's 1533-position model. The record is from RNAcentral.